Molecule: long non-coding RNA, 423 nt
Filed under: Gossypium barbadense (sea-island cotton)
Lineage: Eukaryota; Viridiplantae; Streptophyta; Magnoliopsida; Malvales; Malvaceae
Description: long non-coding RNA (GBAR_LNC017001)
Source: RNAcentral
CCUGCCAUCACUUGGAAAAUUGGGUUAGACCCUCUUGGGGUUAAAUCUACAGCAAUGCAAGGCAAUCAACAGUGGUGCAGUUGACCUGCUAGUGGAGCAGCUAUGGAGGUGUGAUAUCCUUUUCUAAACGAUGUUGCAGUAUGGGAUUAUCAACAACUCGGGUUUUGACCCUUCAAGAAGCUUCAAAAUAGCCUUUGUUAGUAUUAGCAGUUUGUGUAGUUUUUGGGUCCAUUAGCUAUGGGUCUUCCAUUAUCUGGUACUUAGUCCCCUUUUUUGGGGAAUACGACUGUUCUUUUUUUCUUUUUUGCAGGUCUCUUUACAUCAGAGAUUUGUUACCAAGUUUUGAAUCCCAAUCAUGAGUGUUGGUUUCUUCAUGGCUGGAGUUCCCUGAGAAUACAGUCGCUGCUAGGUUCUGGAUUUUAG